CAUGAUCUAAAAUGGAGUCCAAUAGGCAGUAACAAACACUGCAGCUUUUCUUACUUUCAGAGUGAUCUCUGCAAAAAAAUUAUAGCAAGAGGGCUUGGAGGAGCACCCUUGUGGACAGAAUGGAAAGGGAGAGUGUAUAGAGGAGAAAUGUGCAGCAAAAGGGAAGAGACAGGCAGCAGGACAUGGUAGUACUUUUCAAGCACCAGAUGGAUAUGCUGGAGACUAUUACAGACCCUCAGGCCCAGAACCAGCACACAACUGUCUGCAACUGCUCCGUGAAUGCCAGCAACAACCUUGAAUUGAAUCUUUCUGUGUCUAUGCAAGUCAGCCUACAAGGUAUCGUCAUAUCCCUCCUGGCUCCUCUGGCAGCUCUGAAGGACCAGGAGGAAAAACAUAAGGAUUGAUUGGAACACUGACAAAAGACCACAUCAAAACAAACCCAAACCAUUUAUCAUCUUUUCCCCAUGAUCUGUUUCCUGUGACCCUGUUAGCCUUUUGUAACAGCUGAAUAAAGGCCAAGUGUAUUACAUCAUGAAAGCCCAGAAAGCCCCUCCAACUUCAUGCAGAAGAAAAUGCAGUAUUAAAUUAUGCAGGAGGACUUCAGGAGACACUUAGGCUCCGAUUUAGACCAUCUGCUUGUCAAAUGUCUUGUCAGUAUAUCUUCAUAUUAACAAAAGCUUUUUCAUCAUGAGUGAUAGGUCUGAUGACUGAACAAGACAAAGAAGUGCCAGUGAUACUGAUGUAUCCCCAAAGGUUCUGCCAGUGAUUAAAUACAAGUUUGAAUUUAGCUGAUGUCAGAGUUGUUGUGACUUUCCAAACCUGGAAAAUAAACACUUGCACAGACACAAUUCUCUCCCUCUCUUCCCCCCAAAAAGAAGAGACCACUGUGAAAAUGCACCGGUGGUUUAUUAAAUGAAAUGCACAAGCACCUACUUUGUAAGUAUAUUUACACUUUUUCCAAAAUAAAAAGUUUGCAGUUCUGUACGUAAAACUCAAGAACACACAAUCAAGUCUCCCUGUCGACUUACUAGUUAUAGGUUUAACUGUUUUAUACCUGCCCCAUUUUUGCCAACUCAUUUGCUUUUCCCACACUUAGCUUAUUAAGAAGUUUUGAUCAAAUCAAUUCGAAUAUGUUAAACACAAUGGAUGCUGAACUGGCUGUACAAGCUAUAGAUCAUAUUAAAAAUUGAAAACAUUUUGAAUUCCUGUCUGAUUUUUAAUUCCACAAUUUUCCACCAUUUUGAUACAAACACAAUAACCUCUGUCACAAACAGAUGGGAUAGAAAUCUGACUCCCAUUGUAAAUGUGAGAAGAGAAGAAAAGUUCAGAGUCCCCAAAGAACAAAUUUUCUUCUUCCAAUUCUUCAUUCAGCAUCAGGCUUUAUAUUUGGAGUCAGACACAUUCAUUAACUAAUGGAAAGAUUCUAUAACUUUUCUCCCAUUUUUCAAUUUUGUCCUUGUGUGGUUUGUCCUUUGUUAAUUAUACCAAGCCAGUUUCCCACUGAAACUGUGACAUCAGCAUCAUUGGCCCAUAAUCUCCCAUUCCUCCUUCAAUUGCCUUUGACAAUGGAGUACCUCUCUGUAGGGUCCAUUGUUUGUGUGUAAAAUGUCCCUGUGUAAUCAGCAAAGUCAUCCCCGUGCUCAGGGAAAUAUUUAAUAUACGUAUGGUAGUUGGAUGCAAGAGGAGAGAUGAUUCUUCUUGAGAAUUCCACUGUGUGUCAUUUGGAAGCUGGAACAUCAGUUCUCCUCUUUCAUUCAACCAACCAUGAGGGAUGUAGAAGAAUGUUCUUUUUUUAACUUCCACAAUGUGUUUUAUGACUGUUGGAGAUGUUCUUUCUCAAUUAAGCUUAAAUAGGUGGCUGAGCACCCAGGGGUCAGAAGUUUAGGAUGAUGAUUGCACCUGAGAAUCUCCCUUUUUUCUUUUAUUAUUGUUGUCUGAGCAAAUAGUAAAGCCCUUCAUCGUCAUAUUUUUCUGUGCGUUCUUGGGUGGCAUCUUCAAAAACUUGGCCACAAUAUUUUGUGGUUUUCUAUUUAGAUACAAUAUCAAUAGUUUGAAGAUGGAAUGUGGUGUUGUUUUUUCCAUGUGGAUGCUUGUAGCCAGUACUAGGUCCUUUCUCAUGUUUGAACUUUUCUGAGUUACUGUCAAUGUUGAUUCUUUUAGGUCUUCCUUUUAAUAUUUCCUGUUUCUUUGCUUGCUGAAUCUAAUUAUGGACCUCAACAUUUAAGCCUCCUCAGUGACUACUAUUCUAAUUACAGUAGCAAAUUCAAAUACUGGUUAGUUUCAGAACUGAUCAUAAUGAUCCUGAAGAAAUCCAUGCAUAUAGAAACUCUAAAUUAUGUUUUGAUGCUAUUUCAGAGCCAUUAAAAUAUGAAAAUAAUUGUAAUCAUCCCAUUAAUCUCAUUAAGAUGUAGAUGUUCAAAUUAAACAUAUUGAUUAGACUUCUCUCCAGUUCAGAGCUCUCAUGUAUGGGUGAAUUAGUUUAGGAAAAGAGUCAGCAGAGCACUAAUUGUGCCUAUUCAUGGAGUCUUUACCCAAGAAAAACUCAUACUGAUGUUCAACCAGAUCUAUUUAAAACCUUUUUCUAACAUCACUGUUUUUCUAGGUAUGAUUUUAUAGUUCAGAGUCCUCCUAUAUGUGAAAUGCUUUGUCUCUCUCUCUCCCACACUGAGUAACACUAAAUUUCCAACUGGCAUCCAAGAUUUGUUUUUAAACUAUAUGGCCUGAAAAAGUUUGGGAUCUGGUUACCUGCAAGAUGGCUUUUCUCCCUAUGACGUACUGCUAUAGCUGCAAUCAGUAGAGGCACUUCAGCUGCCUCUUCCUCCAUUUAAAUCACUGGGAGCUGCUGGUUAGGCUUUCUUCAUUGAUGGGUCCUCAUUUAUGGAUCUUGCUCCCCAGUUUGGUCUAUUAGAACCUGGAUUUGAUAACUAUCUUGGCGUGUUGUGCGGCCUAUUAUUUAUUCCAGGUAUUUGGGGAGGUGAUAGAUGACACAGUAGGAUUUUAAGGGGAUAGAGGAGUGGUUGUUUGCUAUAAAAAUGUUAAUUUUAAUUUGUGAAGCUCCUAGAAUCUAAGUGACAUGUAGCUACAGCAAUAAGUAUACAACUGUUUACUCCUGAGGGCAUUCUGCGCCAAAAAAAA
Non-coding RNA from Chrysemys picta bellii (western painted turtle), 3135 nucleotides. The record is from RefSeq and is a predicted model, not a curated record. Lineage: Eukaryota; Metazoa; Chordata; Testudines; Emydidae.